UUUAGGUUAGCUUCGUGCCUUAGUAUCUCCGGCCCACUGGGGUGUCUGCGGCCUUGAGAUUGGCGGGCUCCUAGUGCAUCUGGCCAGUCCCCCCCUGGGGACACGCCCUUCAAGCUUAGCAGGAUGGGCGAGGGGAAGCCCACGCUGUGCCAUCUGUCUGUGUGGAGUGCUACAAGCCCGCAGCCACGUGUAACCUCGCAGGCUUGACCCGCAGCCUGCUGUGGCAGCUGGGGUCAAGAGCCCAGGAUCUGUCUGGCGAUGCUGCCUGCCCGCCGUGGACGGAAGGCUGGCCCUGCCCACCUCCUGGAGACCUGGGUUCCUGGCCAAGGUUGCUUGCUGAGAUGACCACCUGGUGACUUCAGGCACCUGGCAGAGUGUGGCACGGCUCACCGCUCCAUGAGCCCCCGGCUCUGGCCACCUGGACUUGACCCCGGCACCCUCACUCCAGUGACCACCAGCGACCCUGGGCCUGGCUAGUGCCACGGCUCCCACACCCCACCUGUCUUCGCUCUGCCCGGCCCUGCGUGCCACUGGUGAGAUGCAAACCCAGCACCAAUGUCUAAAUGUUCCUCGUUCUCACACCAAA
Molecule: long non-coding RNA, 586 nt
Organism: Carlito syrichta (Philippine tarsier)
Lineage: Eukaryota; Metazoa; Chordata; Mammalia; Primates; Tarsiidae
Exons: 2
Source: RefSeq, a predicted model, not a curated record